GAACAAAAUGUGAUUUCAGGUACUCGGAUUACAAAGACAAUCUGGGUUUAAAAGGGAAAGCGGUGAAAAUCCGCUGCAGCCCCCGCUACUGUAAGCGAAUACGAAUCUCAAAAGUCCACUGGCGAAAGCUGGGAAGGAGAGAGGAGAGUGAAGCGCAAGCCAGGAGACCUGCCUUAAAUCAGAUGCUAGA
This 190-nucleotide non-coding RNA is filed under the name Andreesenia angusta. Lineage: Bacteria; Bacillati; Bacillota; Tissierellia; Tissierellales; Gottschalkiaceae. The record is from RNAcentral.